AAAAAGAACCUGAAACCGUGUACGUACAAGCAGUGGGAGCACAGGUUUACCUGUGUGACUGCGUACCUUUUGUAUAAUGGGUCAGCGACUUAUAUUCUGUAGCAAGGUUAACCGAAUAGGGGAGCCGUAGGGAAACCGAGUCUUAACCGGGCGUUAAGUUGCAGGGUAUAGACCCGAAACCCGGUGAUCUAGCCAUGGGCAGGUUGAAGGUUGGGU
This 216-nucleotide ribosomal RNA is filed under the name Salmonella enterica subsp. enterica serovar Kentucky. Its description in RNAcentral is "partial 23S ribosomal RNA". It matches the Rfam family "Bacterial large subunit ribosomal RNA", at positions 541 to 757 of the family's 2925-position model. Lineage: Bacteria; Pseudomonadati; Pseudomonadota; Gammaproteobacteria; Enterobacterales; Enterobacteriaceae. The record is from RNAcentral.